GUUCUGACAGGGUGACCGGGAGUGGAAGUGUGACUGUAUCGAAAGAAGCAAUGUUUCCACAGUAUUUCUGGCCUGAACGGAAGAAGAAAAGGUGUCCUGCUGAACUCUACAUUCUGGAAGAGCACAAGCUACCAUCAUGCAACUUUAACUCUGCAUUAAAAGUUGGUUCAUUUGUUUUCCAUUUCCUAGGUUUUUUUUAAAACAGAGAAAGAGAGAUGUUUGUUGGCAGGAGUUAGUGGUCUUUUGGGCAGUUGUAGUUCGUGUUUAGGUUUGCAGUGGAUAUGCUAUGGUGGCUAUGUAAUAAUCAAAAGACCUAGGUUUUAUACUGUGCUUUUCAUCAGUAGCUCUCAAAGAACUUCACAUCAUUACCCUGUUUUGCAGAUGGGAAACUGAGCACAGAAAGAUGAAGCGACUUACCCAAGGUCACCCAACAGGCCAGUGCCAGAGCAGCAUCUUGGCUCAUCAGUGGAACACAAAUCAAGAGGAGACAGCAACAACAGGAUAAUUCAUAAUGGAUCUUUUUGCUUCUGGCAACGGGAUAAAGUCAAAGAAAUCGGGAUUAAGGUGGGGGGUUUGUGGGGCCAAGUGAAAGAUGCAAGAGAUACCAAUUUGUGUUAUGAGAUAUAUAUAAAAAUAUAUUGAUUUUUGGUUUAUAGCAGGUGGCAGUCAAGCACCCAAAGGGAAAUGGCAUGUUUUUAAAUGCAUAACCCGAGACAUGUCACUAACAACUGAUUUGACAUCAUGCAGUGAACAUAGAAGUGAUAAGAUAUUGCAAUCUUUACUAUUUUUAUUGUAAUUUUUAAAAGAAAGAAUAUUUAACAGAAAGGGUCAGUUCUUCAGCUACCAUAAAUUGGCAUAGCUCUAUUGAAAUCAGUGAAGCUAUGCCAGUUUAGCUCAGCUGAAGGGAGUUUCUCCAUACUGGUUUUGUGUAAAUAAUACUAUAAAAUAACAAUCAGACCGGCUUAAUAGCAAUAUCAAUUUGGCACAACAUUUUAUAACAUUAUCCAGGAUUUUCCAAUAAGCGAUUUAACCUUCCUCAAGUUGAGCAUUAAAUCAAAGCAGAAUCAAUUUUUCAGGUCUUUAAUAUUGAACAUUUAAAAUCUUUGUUCUAUAGCACAUGUACAUACAAAUUAUUCAACUAGAACAAAAACAAAACAUUGAAAAUUGCUUGUGCGUAGCAUCACGUGCAAUAAAUUGAUUAGAGUAAUUAGAAAAAGCCACAUCUGCAAAAAUGGCUUCUAAAUUUGUACCACACAUUUUGUCAGCAUAAUUGCAAAAUAUAUUUUAUGCAUGCAAGAAGUGUCCUGAGGUUCAAUCUGGGCAGUUAAACACCAUUUGUAUAUCAAAUACCAAAUUUUGGGAUGCACAUGAUUGCCCUCACAAAACUAUGUGUACAUAUAAUCAAUGGUUGGACUGAAAAACUUGCCCUUGAAAGCAGUUUGAAUAGCAAAAAGUGAUUUUUAACUGAGAUAAAAUGGGAAAAUUAAUGACAGCUAAUGUUAAAUUGACACAUUUGUGUAAAAUUGGUGUGUAUAGAAAUUUCCUUUUUCCAUUCAAUGAGACUUGCUAUUAAAUGGGAACUGUAAUAGUAACUGGACUUGGUGACUCAGGUCUAGAGCAAAUAUUUCUUUCAACAUAUUAUGCAUUCUUUAUGUAAGCAUAGAUAAGGAGCAUUGAAAUUCUGUGGCUAAUGCUUUGUACUUAUUUUUUAUUUAUAUAGCUACAUAAAAAUGUAACAGUCUUUUCAAGAAUUAAUGUAGUGGAUGUUAAAGGAGAACAUAAAAAAGAAAAUUACAUAUUGUCUGUUAGACAGAAAUUUGGUAUUACUGUGGUAAAGGUCAGCAAAAAAAAAUAUGUUUUCAACAGACAAUGCAGGGAUGCACUGUAAAUCUUCAAUCCCCAUCCCAGGUAAAAAGAAUGUUUCUGAUGCUAUGGUAAUUUUAGAAAUUUGAAUGACUUUGGGCCAAAUCUUCAAGAGAGCUCUGGGUCAAAUCUUCAAGUGUUCAACACUGACAGCCGGGGACAGAUUUUUAAAAUACUCCUACUAGGCAUCAAAAUAAGAGGUUGUGAAAAGAGGCUUAGGCCCCCAAAAUUCUGAGGUCUUUUGAAAAAUCUGGCCCUGAUUGUGAGUACUGUGCUCUUGAAAAUUCUGGCGUUAUUUUUAGAUGUAUACUGCUCCAAUUACUGUAAUACCCAAUUUGGGACACAUUAAACAUUGUGAUAUAGAUGACAACUGUAUAAGCCAUAAUAAAAAUCAGCAUAACAGAAAACUCCAAAAUAUGGUAGGAAACUAGAGAUACACUGGACACGUCCUUUUGUCUAGAACUAGAAAACAGAGGGUCAAGUUUCACCUUCCAGAUUUAGCUUUUUUAGAGUUCGGCAAUCUGGUUCAUUUGGUAGGUGCCAUCACUUGCUGGCUAUUACCUUUCUCAUCUCACAACCGUCAACAAGUGUUUAACUGGCAAUAGUACAAAUGUAUACACUGAUGUAAAGAACACUUCAGUACACAAUAGAUUUAUGAUUGUCUACAUAUUAUCACUGUAAUAUGUAAUUAAUCCCCCUUAAAAUUGCUUCUGUAAUGUAAUAACUUCACUUUCUCUGCAAAUAUGGUCUACAAAUCUUUUAGACCUUCUAGCUUUUGCUUGUUCUGUAUCAACAAGUCUUGCCUCCAUUAAAUCACUUUGCUUAUCUGGUG
Molecule: long non-coding RNA, 2695 nt
Organism: Gopherus flavomarginatus (Mexican gopher tortoise)
Lineage: Eukaryota; Metazoa; Chordata; Testudines; Testudinidae
Exons: 3
Source: RefSeq, a predicted model, not a curated record